Molecule: non-coding RNA, 144 nt
Filed under: Schistosoma mansoni
Lineage: Eukaryota; Metazoa; Platyhelminthes; Trematoda; Strigeidida; Schistosomatidae
Source: RNAcentral
CCCGACCGUUGCUCCUACCUUGACGUGGUGGUCGGGCUUGCCUAUCGUGAUGAACCAAUCGACCUAUAGUGGAUGGAACAAUCGUUCCUCAAGGUCCUACCGUACCAGGCAGGUUGGUUGAAGAGCGGUAAGACUAAAAGCAGC